This is a long non-coding RNA of Carassius auratus (goldfish), 4408 nucleotides long. RefSeq lists it as uncharacterized. Lineage: Eukaryota; Metazoa; Chordata; Actinopteri; Cypriniformes; Cyprinidae. The record is from RefSeq and is a predicted model, not a curated record. The transcript has 2 exons.
GGUGGAGGUAGCAUUAGUUGUGGCUCCAUAUUAGGCAUGCUUGGGACUACAAAUGUGUUGGACUACAGAUCCCAUGAGUCCAAGUACUAUAAAGGGGGAAAUCAAAUCUUCUGGCCUUUCUCUUUGUGGGACCAUGUGCUGCGUAGGAGAAGCUGUGUGGUAUGUUUCAACGCUUGGUGAUAAUGAAGCUAGUCGUUGCCUUGUGAACAUUAUUAAAGUAAAUUGUGGAAGUAAGGGUUGUGACUCAUGGUUAUGGUUAGUGUAGUCCAUUUUAAUGUGUGUUUGUUUGUUUGUUUUAUAGUAUGCUUAAAGGAUAUAUACUGGUGGAUCCCUCAGAAAUUGAGUAGAUUCAUUCAUUAACACAGAUGAUGCAUGAUUGCCGUUUACUUUUAUCUAAAAUAUUGGUGGGUUAAUGUUGGGUUGUAAGAUAUGACUUUUAACAGUUACACUAUGAUGAAGUGAUUUGAAUUUAUUGUGGGACUGUGAUUUUGUUUCGUUUAUUUGUCUUCGUUUUGUUUUAAUCAACCAAAGACAAAGGGGUUCCCAUUCUUGUAUGCAUGGUUGACUCUUAAGGUGAUUGGGCACAAUUUGUAGUGGUUUGAGUCAAGUGCGUGUUGGUUUUCUAUUACACUUGUAGUGUUAUUGGUUUUGUGCUGUGAUUUGAGUGUACUCUUUAAUAGUGGAACUGCCAUUGUAUGGGAUUGGGGAACCCUAUGGUCUAUAGUGGGUUAAACUUUUGUGUUCUUUUCGUUUCUUUGCCACUUCUUAUUACCAUUUGUGUUUAAUAAAUCUGUUUGUGCUUGCAAGGAAACACACUGUGGUUGUUGCCCUUCUUUUACACCUUCCCCAUUACUUUUUGUAACCCUCCCCAGGCCUUACAAGUAAUGGGGAAGGUGUAAAAGAAGGGCAACAACCACAGUGUGUUUCCUUGCAAGCACAAACAGAUUUAUUAAACACAAAUGGUAAUAAGAAGUGGCAAAGAAACGAAAAGAACACAAAAGUUUAACCCACUAUAGACCAUAGGGUUCCCCAAUCCCAUACAAUGGCAGUUCCACUAUUAAAGAGUACACUCAAAUCACAGCACAAAACCAAUAACACUACAAGUGUAAUAGAAAACCAACACGCACUUGACUCAAACCACUACAAAUUGUGCCCAAUCACCUUAAGAGUCAACCAUGCAUACAAGAAUGGGAACCCCUUUGUCUUUGGUUGAUUAAAACAAAACGAAGACAAAUAAACGAAACAAAAUCACAGUCCCACAAUAAAUUCAAAUCACUUCAUCAUAGUGUAACUGUUAAAAGUCAUAUCUUACAACCCAACAUUAACCCACCAAUAUUUUAGAUAAAAGUAAACGGCAAUCAUGCAUCAUCUGCAAAACAAAGAAAAUGCAAUUCAUGAUUGCCCCUUUAGAAUAUUAGAAUUAAAAACAGAAUUAAAAACACCUAACAAUAAAAAGCAAACUUCACAUACUCCAAUAUUCAAUUAAAAUAAGUACCUGUGUUAAUGAAUGAAUCUACUCAAUUUCUGAGGGAUCCACCAGUAUAUAUCCUUUAAGCAUACUAUAAAACAAACAAACAAACACACAUUAAAAUGGACUACACUAACCAUAACCAUGAGUCACAACCCUUACUUCCACAAUUUACUUUAAUAAUGUUCACAAGGCAACGACUAGCUUCAUUAUCACCAAGCGUUGAAACAUACCACACAGCUUCUCCUACGCAGCACAUGGUCCCACAAAGAGAAAGGCCAGAAGAUUUGAUUUCCCCCUUUAUAGUACUUGGACUCAUGGGAUCUGUAGUCCAACACAUUUGUAGUCCCAAGCAUGCCUAAUAUGGAGCCACAACUAAUGCUACCUCCACCCCAUUACAAUACACCCCCCUUAUUUUAAAUCGGCGUCCCGUCGAUCAAAUUUCUAUGACCAUGGUCGAAAAAACAGGGUGUUUGUAACACUGGAGAGCUCUGUUCUCGGGAGAAAGAUAUAACCAUUUGAAUGGACUUCUCUACACACGGCUGACUGAGGAAGAUUAUGUGGAUUUGUAUGCUGCCCUGCUGUGGACCGGGUUGUCCGCCUUACUAGGUCCACCUGUCGCUGCACUGGCUGUUCCGGUUGUCGACAUGGCUGUAAAGUCAGCUCUUGAGGAUCACCUUCUUCUGCUGGAAGUGGUAUGCAUAACUCAUUCUCUGCAGGCACACCAGGUUCACUUGAUAACAUUACUAUCAUAUCCCUUCUCUGCUCCUCAGGAUCCUCACUUAAAGGGAAUAGUCCUGGACUUUCGGUUCGACCUUCUGAUGGGACAUAAACUGGUCGCAACUCACUACGGUGUAUUUGUCUCACUUUUCCACCAUCAACUGGAAUAAUAGAAUAUACAGACCCUUGCCCCUCGGGACAUCGAACAAUUUGAUAAGUGGUUGGGUCCCAAGCAUCCUGGAUUUUCUUUCUGCCUUGAUGAUCAUGUGCUUUUUUAUAUACCAACUGGCCUUCCCUUAAUGUCAUCUGUGACACCUUAGCAUCAUUUACACGGGCACGCUGAGCUGCAGCUUUCUGAAGACGGGCUCGGGCAUUAUUGAAAAUACUUUCCAAAUUAUCUCGGUGGUCAACUAUCCAGUCCACAUUUGUUGGGCCAUAGUCAUCCAGUCCUAGCAUAAAAUCUACCGGUAAGUGUGGUUCUUGUCCAAACAUCAGGACAUAAGGACAGUAACCUGUAGACUGGUGUUCUGUGGUAUUAUAUGCAAACACCAACUGUGACAAGUAAGAUGGCCAGUCUCUUUUUUUUUCAGCAGGGAGUGUACGCAGCAGAUCAUGCAUCGUUCUAUUGAACCGCUCACACUGACCAUUCCCCUGAGGAUGAUAUGGUGUAGUAUGAGUCUUUGCAAUACCAUAGAUUUCACAGAGUUCUUUUAUCAGGUGGCUCUCAAAGCACCUUCCCUGAUCUGAAUGUAACUGUCGCGGGACACCGAACAAAUAAAACCAUCGUUCCACUAAUACACGGGCCACUGUUUUAGCAGUCUGAUCUUUAGUAGGGAUUGCUUGGGUAUAUUUUGAAAACACAUCUGUCAUGAUUAAUACAUUCUCCAUUCCACUAGUUGAUGGUUCCAAUAAUGUAAAAUCGAUUGCUACAAUAUCAAGGGGUCGGUCAGCCAUCAAAUGCCCCAUGAAUGUACGCACCUUCGGUCUAACCACUUUUGAGAGGGUACAGCGCUGACAUUUCCUACACCAGUCCUCAACAUACCUAUACAUUCCUGGCCAAUAACAACGUGCUCUUACUAGCCUUGCAGUUCGCUCCAUCCCCUGAUGGCCAUGGUCAUCAUGAAGGCAGGUAAGAACCUCCUCUCUAAGGGCAGAUGGUAACACAACCUGUCGGAUUUCCUUAUGACACUCUUGUGGCCAAAAUCGUCUAUACAAAACACCAUCCAUUUUCUCCAACUUCUCCCAUUGACGGACUAGCUCCAAAAGCUCUGGCUGUUCGAGAGAGCGUUCUUGCAAUGUUGGUUGCUGCCUGCGGUCCCAGUAUACCAUGAACCUUCCUAUGACAGGGUCAGCUUCCUGCAACACACCCAAAUUUUCCUUCAACGGUCUGGGAAAGACAGAUACUUUAUUAACCCUGCAGACCUGACCCUGAUCUGUAACAGACUGCCGUAUUUGUUCCGGCACAACUGCAAUCGAAGCCAGCUCCACCAAAGGGGUGGAGCUUUGUCUAGACAAGGAAUCAGCAUUGCCAUUAUUGCGUCCAGGCCUGUAUUUGAUAUCUAAAUCAAACUCUGCAAGCUGAUUUACCCACCUUUGUUCCAGUGCCCCCAGCUUUGCUGUCUGCAAAUGACUAAGAGGGUUGUUAUCCGUAUAUACUGUACACUUAUUUCCCAGCAGAUACUCUCUGAAUUUUUCAGCUACAGCCCAUUUUAGAGCCACAAAUUCCAGCUUCAUUGAGCUAUAGUUUCGCAUAUUACGUUCUGCUGGCCUCAACCCUCGACUUGCAUAAGCAACUGGUCUACACUUGCCCUUGUACUCCUGUGACAAAACGGCACCCAAGCCUUGAAAACUUGCAUCUAUCUCCAAGAUGAAUGACUUGCUAAAGUCAGCAUAAGCAAGCACAGGGGCACUGGUCAAAGCUACCUUAAGGGUCUGAAACGCAUCUUCACAAGCUUUAACCCACCUAUCCCCCAAAUUAACUUUUGGCCGCUUGGUUUUCUGGCCCCGAAUGACUUCAGCUACUAGAGCAUUCAAAGGCUCUGCAAUACGUGAGAACCCUUUCACAAAUCGUCGAUAAUAACUAGCAAAACCUAGAAAGGACCUAAGUUCUUGAAGAGUCUGUGGCUGUUUCCAAUUUACCACUGCAGCUAUCUUUUCUGGAUCAGUGCUCACUCCUGCAGCCGAAACGACAUGUCCCAAAUAACGUACUUUUGGGCAAAA